Molecule: ribosomal RNA, 1354 nt
Filed under: metagenome
Description: bacterial LSU rRNA
Rfam family: Bacterial large subunit ribosomal RNA
Source: RNAcentral
UGAAUACGAGAUGCUACGGCGUCGAAGCAGUCUAUGUCAGACUUCCAAGAAAAGCUUGCACUGUCAAAAACAAAUAAUGCCUGUACCAUAACCGACACAGGUGGGUAGGUAGAGUAUACUAAGGGGCGCGAGAUAACUCUCUCUAAGGAACUCGGCAAAAUGACUCCGUAACUUCGGGAGAAGGAGUGCCUUAUUUUAAGGUUGCAAUAACAAGAUCCAAGCAACUGUUUACCAAAAACACAGGUCUCCGCGAAGUCGUAAGACGAUGUAUGGGGGCUGACGCCUGCCCAGUGCCAGAAGGUUAAAGAAGUUGGUUAGCAUUCGCGAAGCUGAUAACUGAAGCCCUGGUGAACGGCGGCCGUAACGAUAACGGUCCUAAGGUAGCGAAAUUCCUUGUCGGGUAAGUUCCGACCCGCACGAAAGGCGUAAUGAUUUGGAUACUGUCUCGGAGAGGGGCUCGGUGAAAUAGACUUGUCUGUGAAGAUGCGGACUACCUGCACCUGGACAGAAAGACCCUAUGAAGCUUUACUGUAACUUGAAAUUGAAAUUGGACUUUAUUUGCGCAGUAUAGGUGGGAGGCCUUGAGAAGAAUCUUGCGGGAUUCUUGGAGCCAUCAGUGAGAUACCACUCUUGUAAUGUUAGAUUUCUAACUUUGUAUCAUUCUCUGGUCAAAGAACAGUUUCAGGCGGGCAGUUUGACUGGGGCGGUUCCCUCCUAAAGAGUAACGGAGGAGUUCAAAGGUCACCUCAGCACGGUCAGCAAUCGUGCGUCGAGCGCAAUGGUAUAUAGGUGGCUUAACUGCGAGACCUACAAGUCGAGCAGAUGCGAAAGCAGGACAUAGUGAUCCGGUGGUUGCUAGUGGUAGCGCCAUCGCUCAUCGGACAAAAGGUACUCCGGGGAUAACAAGCUGAUCGCUGCCGAGAGUUCACAUCGACGCAGCGGUUUGGCACCUCGAUGUCGGCUCAUCGCAUCCUGGGGCUGGAGAAGGUCCCAAGGGUUUGGCUGUUCGCCAAUUAAAGCGGUACGCGAGCUGGGUUCAGAGCGUCGUAAGACAGUUCGGUCCUUAUCCACUGUGGGCGUAGGAGAUUUGAGGAGAACAUUCCCUAGUACGAGAGGACCGGGAAUGACGUACCUCAGGUGUUCCUGUUGUCGUGCCAACGGCAUCGCAGGGUAGCUAUGUACGGAACGGAUAAGCGCUGAAAGCAUCUAAGCGCCAAGCCUCCUCCAAGACUAGAUCUCCCUGGACCUUCGGGUCCCUGAAGGCCGGUCGAAGACCACGACCUUGAUAGGCUGGGUGUGUACGCACAGCGAUGUGUUUAGCUUACCAGUACUAAUCAGCCGUGAGGCUUAACCU